UUCUGACCUCGAAUCAGGUGGGACUACCCGCUGAACUUAAGCAUAUCAAUAAGCGGAGGAAAAGAAACUAACAAGGAUUCCCUUAGUAACUGCGAGUGAAGUGGGAUGAGCUCAAAUUUAAAAUCUGGUGGUCUUUGGCUGCCCGAGUUGUAAUCUAGAGAAGUGUUU
RNAcentral lists this ribosomal RNA (168 nucleotides) under Hydnum umbilicatum. RNAcentral's name for it is "partial 28S ribosomal RNA". It matches the Rfam family "Eukaryotic large subunit ribosomal RNA", at positions 1 to 163 of the family's 3401-position model. The record is from RNAcentral. Lineage: Eukaryota; Fungi; Basidiomycota; Agaricomycetes; Cantharellales; Hydnaceae.